GACGAACGCUGGCGGCGUGCUUAACACAUGCAAGUCGAACGGAAAGGCCUGCUUUCCCUUGUGGAUUGCGGGUACUCGAGUGGCGAACGGGUGAGUAACACGUGAGUGAUCUGCCCCCAACUUGGGUAUAAGCCUGGGAAACUGGGUCUAAUUCCCGAUAGGACUGCAGGGUGGUGCCUGUGGUGGAAAACGAUUUUCUAGUGGUUGGGGAUGAGCUCGCGGCCUAUCAGCUUGUUGGUGGGGUGAUGGCCUACCAAGGCGGCGACGGGUAGCCGGCCUGGGAGGGUGGACGGCCACAUUGGGACUGGGAUACGGCCCAGACUCCUACGGGAGGCAGCAGUGGGGAAUAUUGCACAAUGGGCGGAAGCCUGAUGCAGCGACGCGGCGUGGGGGAUGACGGCCUUCGGGUUGUAAACUCCUUUCGACCGCGAGGAAGCCACCUGGUUGGAAGGGUGGUGACGGUAGUGGUAGAAGAAGCACCGGCUAACUACGUG
RNAcentral lists this ribosomal RNA (494 nucleotides) under uncultured bacterium. Its description in RNAcentral is "partial 16S ribosomal RNA". It matches the Rfam family "Bacterial small subunit ribosomal RNA", at positions 28 to 507 of the family's 1533-position model. The record is from RNAcentral.